This is a ribosomal RNA of 426 nucleotides. It matches the Rfam family "Bacterial small subunit ribosomal RNA", at positions 46 to 462 of the family's 1533-position model.
GCCUAAUACAUGCAAGUCGAGCGGAAUGACGAGAGCUUGCUCUCUGAUUUUAGCGGCGGACGGGUGAGUAACACGUGGGCAACCUGCCCUACAGAUGGGGAUAACUCCGGGAAACCGGGGCUAAUACCGAAUAAUCAGUUUGUCCGCAUGGACAAACUCUGAAAGACGGUUUCGGCUGUCACUGUAGGAUGGGCCCGCGGCGCAUUAGCUAGUUGGUGGGGUAAUGGCCUACCAAGGCAACGAUGCGUAGCCGACCUGAGAGGGUGAUCGGCCACACUGGGACUGAGACACGGCCCAGACUCCUACGGGAGGCAGCAGUAGGGAAUCUUCCACAAUGGACGAAAGUCUGAUGGAGCAAUGCCGCGUGAGCGAAGAAGGUUUUCGGAUCGUAAAGCUCUGUUGUAAGGGAAGAACACGUACGGGAGU